This 649-nucleotide ribosomal RNA is filed under the name uncultured archaeon. RNAcentral's name for it is "bacterial SSU rRNA". It matches the Rfam family "Archaeal small subunit ribosomal RNA", at positions 1 to 655 of the family's 1478-position model. The record is from RNAcentral.
UUCGCCCUUUGAUCCUGCCGGACCUGACUGCUAUCGGAUUGAUACUAAGCCAUGCGAGUCAUUGUAGCAAUACAAGGCAGACGGCUCAGUAACGCGUAGUCAACCUAACCUAUGGACGGGAAUAACCUCGGGAAACUGAGAAUAAUGCCCGAUAGAACACUAUACCUGGAAUGGUUUGUGUUCCAAAUGAUUUAUCGCCGUAGGAUGGGACUGCGGCCUAUCAGUUUGUUGGUGAGGUAAUGGCCCACCAAGACUAUUACAGGUACGGGCUCUGAGAGGAGUAGCCCGGAGAUGGGUACUGAGACACGGACCCAGGCCCUAUGGGGCGCAGCAGGCGAGAAAACUUUGCAAUGUGCGAAAGCACGACAAGGUUAAUCCGAGUGAUUUGUGCUAAACGAAUCUUUUGUUAGUCCUAGAACCACUAACGAAUAAGGGGUGGGCAAGUUCUGGUGUCAGCCGCCGCGGUAAAACCAGCACCUCAAGUGGUCAGGAUGAUUAUUGGGCCUAAAGCAUCCGUAGCCGGCUCUGUAAGUUUUCGGUUAAAUCUGUACGCUUAACGUACAGGCUGCCGGGAAUACUGCAGAGCUAGGGAGUGGGAGAGGUAGACGGUACUCGGUAGGAAGGGGUAAAAUCCUUUGAUCUAUUGAUG